Molecule: long non-coding RNA, 1276 nt
Organism: Homo sapiens (human)
Lineage: Eukaryota; Metazoa; Chordata; Mammalia; Primates; Hominidae
Source: Ensembl
CAGGGGGCGGGGCCUGCAGAAGCGGCUCGGAGUGUUCUGGAAGUGGCAGGAGCACGACUCCCUUAACUCUGGUGCAGGGUUUACCUCGGCUCCCUCGGGACGGGUUCCGUGCAGCUCCUGCUUCCUCCCUUCUCUUUCCCAGUGCCAUCCCUGGCGAGGGGGAAAAAAAAAAACACGGCCAGGAGACUUCCCACCCCUGCUUUGCUAUUUUUGUACCUCCGUGACAGAAAAACAAAACCCUGAGGAAAAGUCAGGCGACUUCAUUCCCUGCCGUCCGCGCCGGGGCCUCGACUACUGCUGGCGUCCGCGGCUUUCGCCCGCCGCUCCACAGGCGAGUUUUAAGAGAUUUCUCACAAUUGUCAAGUCCGCAAGUCUCCGUGCGUUUGCUUUUAUUUGGGCCGUGCGUUCAAAUGCGCUCAUAAUUCUUUCUGACCCUCAGAGGGGCCCUGAAGUAGGUGACAAAUUUGCCUUGGAUCCAACUGGGUGGUUUUAUGAUUAAAAAAAAAAAAACAGACAAAGCAGUUUUAAGUCUCUACAAAUCUGGUUUGAGUGGCGCUGGACCUAACUCCCCUCUGCAGUAACGCUGUCAAAUAAACAAACGGAGUUUAUGUGGAGAUAGUUGGCCAGCGACACCCAAAAACACUUCUGAGCGUCUUGCACCUGGCCCCGCGAACCGCUCACCACAAAACAAACCUGCACCUGGGCACUUCCCCAGCCAAGAACUCGAUUUUUUUAAAACUGAACUCUAAAUGUAGCUUCUUAGAUGUUGUAUCACAGUCUUUCCUAAGCACCGAAUUUACACAUGAAAUGAUUUAAGGAACGAAGAGCACUAGGCUUUUUAAGCCAGAAGGAUAAUAGCCAUUAUUUUAACCUUAUCAAUUGGAUAAGAUCCCGGGGGCGGAAGAGGGGAGAAAUCCAAGGAAUUGCAGUCAUAACAAAGCGUAAUCCGUAACAUAGAUAACUGGAAUUGGAAAAUUAGCUACUCGUUCCUGGUUCUUCUAGUAGAUUGUGAUAUUACUGAAAUAAUUUUUAUGACCAGCUGCAUUUAUUGGAGCUAUAUUUUUUUAAUUACUGAAUAAUUGCACCUCGAUAUGGGGCAAGGGAAGAAUUUUAGGAAAUUGAUUUACUUUCAUUGUAAUAAAAAUUGUAAGCUAAUGAUGUGUUGUGAAAAAUAAUUAAAUCAGUAAGUAUUUAUUGGAUAUUUACCAUAUUCAAAGGACUGUCCUAGUCCCUGGGGACAGAAAUGCAAAAAUGAAUAAAGUAUUUUUUAAAGUUU